AAAUGAUUCAGAGGUUAGUAGAUAAAACUUAAAAUGAAGAACAUUUUCGACAUAAAAAAUUUAAGUUUGCUACUUGUACAUGUAUAGGACCUUCCAGACCACGCCUGAGAAGUAACAGAAAUUAUGGCACAGGAUCCUGUAGCCUGCAUCGAACAUCACAGAUAAAUGACGAAUUCAGACGGAGCUCUACAUUCAUUCAUUGCACAACUGGACCAGUUGCCAUUGCUUUAAAAAUAAACAAUGCUUUCAGAAAAUUUAAAU
Alosa alosa (allis shad) is the source of this 261-nucleotide long non-coding RNA. RefSeq lists it as uncharacterized. The transcript has 3 exons. Lineage: Eukaryota; Metazoa; Chordata; Actinopteri; Clupeiformes; Clupeidae. The record is from RefSeq and is a predicted model, not a curated record.